CAGCAGCCGCGGGAAUACCGAGGGUGCGAGCGUUAAUCGGAUUUACUGGGCGUAAAGCGUGCGUAGGCGGCUUUUUAAGUCGGAUGUGAAAUCCCUGAGCUUAACUUAGGAAUUGCAUUCGAUACUGGGAAGCUAGAGUAUGGGAGAGGAUGGUAGAAUUCCAGGUGUAGCGGUGAAAUGCGUAGAGAUCUGGAGGAAUACCGAUGGCGAAGGCAGCCAUCUGGCCUAAUACUGACGCUGAGGUACGAAAGCAUGGGGAGCAAACAGGAUUAGAUACCCGCGUAGUCCCUGUCUCUUAUAC
Molecule: ribosomal RNA, 301 nt
Filed under: uncultured bacterium
Lineage: Bacteria
Description: partial 16S ribosomal RNA
Rfam family: Bacterial small subunit ribosomal RNA
Source: RNAcentral